UACGUAGGGUGCGAGCGUUAAUCGGAAUUACUGGGCGUAAAGCGUGCGCAGGCGGUUUUGCAAGACAGGCGUGAAAUCCCCGGGCUUAACCUGGGAACUGCGUUUGAAACUACAAGGCUAGAGUGUGGCAGAGGGGGGUGGAAUUCCACGUGUAGCAGUGAAAUGCGUAGAGAUGUGGAGGAACACCGAUGGCGAAGGCAGCCCCCUGGGUUAACACUGACGCUCAGGCACGAAAGCGUGGGGAGCAAACAGG
This 253-nucleotide ribosomal RNA is filed under the name uncultured bacterium. Its description in RNAcentral is "partial 16S ribosomal RNA". It matches the Rfam family "Bacterial small subunit ribosomal RNA", at positions 524 to 776 of the family's 1533-position model. The record is from RNAcentral.